UAGGGAAUCUUCGGCAAUGGGGGGAACCCUGACCGAGCAACGCCGCGUGAGUGAAGAAGGUUUUCGGAUCGUAAAGCUCUGUUGUUAAGGAAGAACGAGUGUGAGAAUGGAAAGUUCAUACUGUGACGGUACUUAACCAGAAAGGGACGGCUAGCUACGUGCCAGCAGCCGCGGUAAUACGUAGGUCCCGAGCGUUGUCCGGAUUUAUUGGGCGUAAAGCGAGCGCAGGCGGUUAGAUAAGUCUGAAGUUAAAGGCAGUGGCUCAACCAUUGUAGGCUUUGGAAACUGUUUAACUUGAGUGCAGAAGGGGCGAGUGGAAUUCCAUGUGUAGCGGUGAAAUGCGUAGAUAUAUGGAGGAACACCGGUGGCGAAAGCGGCUCUCUGGUCUGUAACUGACGCGGAGGCUCGAAAGCGUGGGGAGCGAACAGG
This 429-nucleotide ribosomal RNA is filed under the name Bacteroidota bacterium. RNAcentral's name for it is "Bacteroidetes bacterium partial 16S ribosomal RNA". It matches the Rfam family "Bacterial small subunit ribosomal RNA", at positions 355 to 776 of the family's 1533-position model. Lineage: Bacteria; Pseudomonadati; Bacteroidota. The record is from RNAcentral.